This 368-nucleotide ribosomal RNA is filed under the name uncultured organism. RNAcentral's name for it is "bacterial SSU rRNA". It matches the Rfam family "Bacterial small subunit ribosomal RNA", at positions 526 to 896 of the family's 1533-position model. The record is from RNAcentral.
CGGAGGGUGCAAGCGUUGUCCGGAUUUAUUGGGUUUAAAGGGUGCGUAGGCGGUCUUUUAAGUCAGUGGUGAAAUCCAGCAGCUCAACUGUUGAAUUGCCAUUGAUACUGGAAGACUUGAGUACAGACGAGGUAGGCGGAAUUUAUGGUGUAGCGGUGAAAUGCAUAGAUACCAUAAAGAACACCGAUUGCGAAGGCAGCUUACUAGGCUGUAACUGACGCUGAGGCACGAAAGCGUGGGGAUCAAACAGGAUUAGAUACCCUGGUAGUCCACGCCGUAAACGAUGAUUACUCGAUGUGUGCGAUAGACAGUACGCGUCCAAGCGAAAGCGUUAAGUAAUCCACCUGGGGAGUACGAUCGCAAGAUUG